This 110-nucleotide ribosomal RNA is filed under the name Flavobacteriaceae bacterium. The record is from RNAcentral. Lineage: Bacteria; Pseudomonadati; Bacteroidota; Flavobacteriia; Flavobacteriales; Flavobacteriaceae.
AUAGGUGGCUAUUGCAAUGGGGUACACCUCUUUCCAUUCCGAACAGAGAAGUUAAGUCCAUUAGCGCAGAUGGUACUGCCGAAAGGUGGGAUAGUAUGUCGCUGCCUACU